This 800-nucleotide ribosomal RNA is filed under the name uncultured Bacteroidota bacterium. Its description in RNAcentral is "bacterial SSU rRNA". It matches the Rfam family "Bacterial small subunit ribosomal RNA", at positions 70 to 869 of the family's 1533-position model. Lineage: Bacteria; Pseudomonadati; Bacteroidota. The record is from RNAcentral.
AUUGGGGUAGCAAUACUUCAGAUGGCGACCGGCGCACGGGUGAGUAACACGUAUCCAACCUGCCGCUUACUCGGGGAUAGCCUUUCGAAAGAAAGAUUAAUACCCGAUGGUAUAAAGAGUUCGCAUGUUCUCUUUAUUAAAGAAUUUCGGUAAGCGAUGGGGAUGCGUUCCAUUAGAUAGUUGGCGGGGUAACGGCCCACCAAGUCUACGAUGGAUAGGGGUUCUGAGAGGAAGGUCCCCCACAUUGGAACUGAGACACGGUCCAAACUCCUACGGGAGGCAGCAGUGAGGAAUAUUGGUCAAUGGACGAGAGUCUGAACCAGCCAAGUAGCGUGAAGGAUGACUGCCCUAUGGGUUGUAAACUUCUUUUAUAAGGGAAUAAAGUGAGGGACGUGUCCCUUUUUGUAUGUACCUUAUGAAUAAGGAUCGGCUAACUCCGUGCCAGCAGCCGCGGUAAUACGGAGGAUCCGAGCGUUAUCCGGAUUUAUUGGGUUUAAAGGGAGCGUAGGUUGACAUAUAAGUCAGCUGUGAAAGUUUACGGCUCAACCGUGAAAUUGCAGUUGAUACUGUAUGUCUUGAGUGUACAAGAGGUGGGCGGAAUUCGUGGUGUAGCGGUGAAAUGCUUAGAUAUCACGAAGAACUCCAAUUGCGAAGGCAGCUCACUGGGGUACAACUGACACUGAGGCUCGAAAGUGUGGGUAUCAAACAGGAUUAGAUACCCUGGUAGUCCACACAGUAAACGAUGAAUACUCGCUGUUUGCGAUAUACAGUAAGCGGCCAAGCGAAAGCAUUAAGUAUUC